This 493-nucleotide ribosomal RNA is filed under the name uncultured Tulasnellaceae. Its description in RNAcentral is "LSU rRNA". It matches the Rfam family "Bacterial large subunit ribosomal RNA", at positions 1713 to 2107 of the family's 2925-position model. The record is from RNAcentral. Lineage: Eukaryota; Fungi; Basidiomycota; Agaricomycetes; Cantharellales; Tulasnellaceae.
CUCGGCAAAUUAUCCUCAUAAGUUAGACGAUAUGAAGAACCACUGGAUGCUAUUAAUCCUUAUUUUAAGGUAAUGUUACCUGUCUUUAUUGAUUGGUAAUGGUUUUGCGUUUUCAUAGGCUGCGAAGCUUGUGUUAUUCAGAACCUUAAUAGUAUUUAAGUGGUGGCACAGAAUCGGAGGCCCCGACUGUUUACUUAAAACACAGCUUUCUGCGACGAAUAAUAUCUUUGUAUAGAAAGCGAAUUUUGCCCAAUGCCAUUAAUAUAAGGUCGAUAAGCGCUUUGCGUAAUUAUUGGCUGAAGUUCUGGUCAAUGGCGGUCUUAUCUAUGAGGAUCCUAAGGUAGCAAAAUUAAUUGUCCAUUAAAUGUGGUCCUGACUGAAUAAAGUAACGAUGGUCUCGCUGUCUCUACAAGUAUCUCAGUGAAAUUGAAUUAGCCGUGCAGAUGCGGUUUAACUUCGGGUAGACGGGAAGACCCUAUGCAGCUUCUACUGA